Molecule: ribosomal RNA, 468 nt
Filed under: uncultured bacterium
Lineage: Bacteria
Description: SSU rRNA
Rfam family: Bacterial small subunit ribosomal RNA
Source: RNAcentral
AGGACGAACGCUGGCGGCGUGCUUAACACAUACAAGUCGAGCGGAAAGGCCCUUCGGGGUACUCGAGCGGCGAACGGGUGAGUAACACGUGAGCAACCUGCCCUUAGCUUCGGGAUAGCUUCGGGAAACCGGAAUUAAUACCGGAUACGACCUCUAAGGGCAUCCGAAGAGGUGGAAAGUUUUUCGGCUGAGGAUGGGCCCGCGGCCUAUCAGCUUGUUGGUGGGGUCAAGGCCUACCAAGGCGACGACGGGUAGCCGGCCUGAGAGGGGUGACCGGCCACGACUGGGACUGAGACACGGCCCAGACUCCUACGGGAGGCAGCAGUAGGGAAUCUGGACAAUGGGCGAAAGCCUGAUCCAGCCAUGCCGCGUGAGUGAAGAAGGCCUUAGGGUUGUAAAGCUCUUUUGGCGGGACGAUAAUGACGGUACCGCAGAAUAAGCCCCGGCUAACUUCGUGCCAGCAGCCGC